CAAUAGCGUAUACUAAAGUUGUUGCGAUUAAAAAGCUCGUAGUUGGAUCUCAGGCAUGGGCGCACGGUCCGCCUCGCGGCGGUCACUGUGUGUUUUGUUUCCCAUCCUACGCUUCCCGGUUAUCAGCCCAUGGUGCUCUUCACUGAGCGUUUUGGGUGGCCGGAACGUUUACUUUGAAGAAAUUAGAGUGUUCAAAGCAGGCACGUCGCCUGAAUAAUGGUGCAUGGAAUAAUGGAAUAGGACCUCGGUUCUAUUUUGCUGGUUUUCGGAACACGAGGUAAUGAUUAAGAGGGACAGACGGGGGCAUCCGUAUUGCGGUGUUAGAGGUGAAAUUCUUGGAUCAUCGCAAGACGAACAACUGCGAAAGCAUUUGCCAAGCAUGCUUUCAUUAG
This 392-nucleotide ribosomal RNA is filed under the name uncultured eukaryote. Its description in RNAcentral is "partial 18S ribosomal RNA". It matches the Rfam family "Eukaryotic small subunit ribosomal RNA", at positions 592 to 976 of the family's 1831-position model. The record is from RNAcentral.